RNAcentral lists this ribosomal RNA (429 nucleotides) under Pseudomonadota bacterium. RNAcentral describes it as "Proteobacteria bacterium partial 16S ribosomal RNA". It matches the Rfam family "Bacterial small subunit ribosomal RNA", at positions 355 to 776 of the family's 1533-position model. Lineage: Bacteria; Pseudomonadati; Pseudomonadota. The record is from RNAcentral.
UGGGGAAUAUUGGACAAUGGGCGAAAGCCUGAUCCAGCCAUGCCGCGUGUGUGAAGAAGGUCUUCGGAUUGUAAAGCACUUUAAGUUGGGAGGAAGGGCAGUAAGCGAAUACCUUGCUGUUUUGACGUUACCGACAGAAUAAGCACCGGCUAACUCUGUGCCAGCAGCCGCGGUAAUACAGAGGGUGCGAGCGUUAAUCGGAUUUACUGGGCGUAAAGCGUGCGUAGGCGGCUAAUUGAGUCGGAUGUGAAAUCCCCGAGCUUAACUUGGGAGUUGCAUUCGAUACUGGUUAGCUAGAGUGUGGGAGAAGAUGGUAGAAUUCUAGGUGUAGCGGUGAAAUGCGUAGAGAUCUGGAGGAAUACCGAUGGCGGAGGCAGCCAUCUGGCCUAUCACUGACGCUGAGGUACGAAAGCAUGGGGAGCAAACAGG